AAGAUGGCGACCGGCGCACGGGUGAGUAACACGUAUCCAACCUGCCGAUAACUCCGGAAUAGCCUUUCGAAAGAAAGAUUAAUACCGGAUGGCAUACGAAUAUCGCAUGAUAUUUUUAUUAAAGAAUUUCGGUUAUCGAUAGGGAUGCGUUCCAUUAGUUUGUUGGCGGGGUAACGGCCCACCAAGACUACGAUGGAUAGGGGUUCUGAGAGGAAGGUCCCCCACAUUGGAACUGAGACACGGUCCAA
Molecule: ribosomal RNA, 248 nt
Filed under: uncultured bacterium
Lineage: Bacteria
Description: partial 16S ribosomal RNA
Rfam family: Bacterial small subunit ribosomal RNA
Source: RNAcentral